RNAcentral lists this ribosomal RNA (776 nucleotides) under uncultured Neocallimastigales. RNAcentral describes it as "partial large subunit ribosomal RNA". It matches the Rfam family "Eukaryotic large subunit ribosomal RNA", at positions 24 to 632 of the family's 3401-position model. The record is from RNAcentral. Lineage: Eukaryota; Fungi; Neocallimastigomycota; Neocallimastigomycetes; Neocallimastigales.
UUAUGUGAUCGUCUCUCGCAUAUCAAUAAGCGGAGGAAAAGAAACUAACAAGGAUUCCCCUAGUAACGGCGAGUGAAGCGGGAAGAGCUCAAAUUUGAAAUCUUAAAGGGUUUCCCUUUACGAAUUGUAGUUUAAAGAAGUGUUUUCUGUUGAGGUUUUGGUAAAAGUUCUUUGGAAUAGGACAUCAUAGAGGGUGAGAAUCCCGUAUUUGACCUUUACUUUCAACUUUGUGAUACACUUUCAAAGAGUCGGAUUGUUUGGGAAUGCAGUCCAAAAUGGGUGGUAAAUUUCAUCUAAAGCUAAAUAUUGGCGAGAGACCGAUAGCGAACAAGUACCGUGAGGGAAAGAUGAAAAGAACUUUGAAAAGAGAGUUAAACAGUACGUGAAAUUGUCAAAAGGGAAGCGUUUGACACCAGUGUUGUUUUUCUGAAAAUCAAUUAAAGAACUGUUUAUGCUAAGUUGUUUAGACUUUAUCAGCUAUCUGCUUUAGUUUUGAGCUUUUCUUUAAUGCACCUUUCAGUUAACAAGUCAACAUCAAUUUCUUUUGCUGUAAAAAAGCUUGAGGAAGGUGGCUUGAGAUUCGUCUUAAGUGUUUAUAGCCUCUUGCCUAUGCAGUCGGAGAGAUUGAGGUCUGCAGCGUAGAUCCUUCGGGGCUAAAUGCAUUUGUGCUAAGUUAUAGCAUUUUAUAGACAACUUGUUGACUAUGAUUUGUCUUGUAGCUUACUCGCUUAUGUUAUUUUACCUACGCUUAGGAUGUUGAUCUACAGAGCGAGAGU